This 266-nucleotide ribosomal RNA is filed under the name uncultured archaeon. Its description in RNAcentral is "partial 16S ribosomal RNA". It matches the Rfam family "Archaeal small subunit ribosomal RNA", at positions 717 to 982 of the family's 1478-position model. The record is from RNAcentral.
ACACGACUACAUUAGAUACCCGCGUAGUCCCAGCCCUAAACGAUGCGCGUUAGGUGUAUCGGUGACCACGAGUCACCGAGGUGCCGAAGGGAAACCGUGAAACGUGCCGCCUGGGAAGUACGGUCGCAAGGCUGAAACUUAAAGGAAUUGGCGGGGGAGCACCACAACGGGUGGAGCCUUGCGGUUUAAUUGGACUCAACGCCGGGAAGCUCACCGGAUAAGACAGCGGAAUGAUUGCCGGGCUGAAGACCCUGCAUGACCAGCUG